This 73-nucleotide transfer RNA is filed under the name Candidatus Omnitrophota bacterium. RNAcentral describes it as "tRNA-Thr". It matches the Rfam family "tRNA". From Rfam's summary of the family: Transfer RNA (tRNA) molecules are approximately 80 nucleotides in length. Lineage: Bacteria; Pseudomonadati; Candidatus Omnitrophota. The record is from RNAcentral.
GCUGGUGUAGCUCAGCUGGUAGAGCAACUGUUUCGUAAACAGUAGGUCGGCGGUUCAAUCCCGCCCGCCAGCU